This 300-nucleotide ribosomal RNA is filed under the name uncultured Bartonella sp. Its description in RNAcentral is "bacterial SSU rRNA". It matches the Rfam family "Bacterial small subunit ribosomal RNA", at positions 496 to 795 of the family's 1533-position model. The record is from RNAcentral. Lineage: Bacteria; Pseudomonadati; Pseudomonadota; Alphaproteobacteria; Hyphomicrobiales; Bartonellaceae.
GCUAACGCCUUGCGGGUAGCAGUGGUAAUAGUGAGGGUGCAAGCGUUAUCCGGAGUUAUUGGGUUUAAAGGGACCUUAUGCUGACUUAUAAGUCAGUGGUGAAAGCCUGUCGCUUAACGUUAGAACUUCCAUUGUUACUGGAAGUCUUGAGUAUAUUUGAGGUAGCUGGAAUAAGUAGUGUAGCGGUGAAAUGCAUAGAUAUUACUUAGAACACCAAUUGCGAAGGCAGGUUACCAAGAUAUAACUGACGCUGAGGGACGAAAGCGUGGGGAGCGAACAGGAUUAGAUACCCUGGUAGUC